AAUAGAUACCCCGGUAGUCCACGCUGUAAACGAUGGAUACUAGGUGUGGGAGGUAUCGACCCCUUCCGUGCCGCAGUAAACGCAAUAAGUAUCCCGCCUGGGGAGUACGGCCGCAAGGUUGAAACUCAAAGGAAUUGACGGGGGCCCGCACAAGCAGCGGAGCAUGUGGUUUAAUUCGAAGCAACGCGAAGAACCUUACCAGAGCUUGACAUCUCCUGCAUAGUCCGUAAUGGGAUGAAAUCCUUCGGGACAGGAAGACAGGUGGUGCAUGGUUGUCGUCAGCUCGUGUCGUGAGAUGUUGGGUUAAGUCCCGCAACGAGCGCAACCCUUAUACUUAGUUGCCAGCAGUAAGAUGGGCACUCUAAGUAGACUGCCGGAGACAAUUCGGAGGAAGUGGGGAUGACGUCAAAUCAUCAUGCCCCUUAUGUUCUGGGCUACACACGUGCUACAAUGGGUAUAACAACGGGAANCGAGCCAGUGAUGGUAAGCAGAUCCCUAAAAAGUCUCCAGUUCAGAUUGUUCU
RNAcentral lists this ribosomal RNA (523 nucleotides) under uncultured bacterium. Its description in RNAcentral is "bacterial SSU rRNA". It matches the Rfam family "Bacterial small subunit ribosomal RNA", at positions 777 to 1304 of the family's 1533-position model. The record is from RNAcentral.